RNAcentral lists this unclassified non-coding RNA (540 nucleotides) under Hevea brasiliensis (rubber tree). The record is from RNAcentral. Lineage: Eukaryota; Viridiplantae; Streptophyta; Magnoliopsida; Malpighiales; Euphorbiaceae.
UGAUGUUUAUUAUUAGCUCAAAUAGAACGAAAAAGAGCAUCUCCCAGGGACAAUAAGAGAGAGAAACAAAUAUACACGACUGUUAGAAGCUAGUUCAGUUAUACCACUCAGCCGAAGAACAAAAAGAUCAAGGCCAAUAGACCAAAAUAUCGAGUUAUUCACAAAAAUCAUUUAGCUUUAUUUUAAUUUUUUAUACAAAAGGAUCAUAAUCCAUGAUGAUGAUGAACAGAAACAGAAUCGGCAACACAAGCCAUUAGCUUCCACACAACACAAACGACAAAUUGGCUGUCGCCGCAUGACACGAAUGAUACAAUUUUGCGGGCCACUUGAAGCUGCGAUUAAUCAUUCCAAUAAACAGGUAAGAAUACUAAAAGAACCCACCUCAAGUCAUCAGCAGCUAACAUUCUGAAACAUCUAAUAGAACCAGAAAAAUCUUCCCGCUUUGAAUUUGGAACAAAUAUUAAUUAGAUAAAACAGUCGAUACCAAUUGUUCGAAAAGAAACUGUUCCGCCUGAAAAGAAUACAAUUCCAAAAACCCUG